This 445-nucleotide ribosomal RNA is filed under the name uncultured bacterium. RNAcentral describes it as "partial 16S ribosomal RNA". It matches the Rfam family "Bacterial small subunit ribosomal RNA", at positions 354 to 796 of the family's 1533-position model. The record is from RNAcentral.
GUGAGGAAUAUUGGUCAAUGGGCGAGAGCCUGAACCAGCCAAGUCGCGUGAAGGAAGAAGGAUCUAUGGUUCGUAAACUUCUUUUGCAGGGGAAUAAAGUGCGGGACGUGUCCUGUUUUGUAUGUACCCUGAGAAUAAGGAUCGGCUAACUCCGUGCCAGCAGCCGCGGUAAUACGGAGGAUCCGAGCGUUAUCCGGAUUUAUUGGGUUUAAAGGGUGCGUAGGUGGUUUGAUAAGUCAGCGGUGAAAGUUUGCAGCUUAACUGUAAAAAUGCCGUUGAAACUGUCGGACUUGAGUGUAAAUGAGGUAGGCGGAAUGCGUGGUGUAGCGGUGAAAUGCAUAGAUAUCACGCAGAACUCCGAUUGCGAAGGCAGCUUACUAAGCUACAACUGACACUGAAGCACGAAAGCGUGGGGAUCAAACAGGAUUAGAUACCCUUGUAGUCC